RNAcentral lists this ribosomal RNA (545 nucleotides) under uncultured bacterium. Its description in RNAcentral is "bacterial SSU rRNA". It matches the Rfam family "Bacterial small subunit ribosomal RNA", at positions 232 to 769 of the family's 1533-position model. The record is from RNAcentral.
UACGUCCGAUUAGCUGGUUGGUGGGGUAACGGCCCACCAAGGCGACGAUCGGUAGCGGGUCUGAGAGGACGACCCGCCACACUGGGACUGAGACACGGCCCAGACUCCUACGGGAGGCAGCAGUGGGGAAUAUUGGACAAUGGGCGCAAGCCUGAUCCAGCAAUGCCGCGUGGGUGAAGACGGCCUGCGGGUUGUAAAGCCCUUUAGGCGGGGAGGAACGACGGGACGCUAAUAUCGUUUCGAAGUGACGUUACCCGCGGAAUAAGCACCGGCUAACUCCGUGCCAGCAGCCGCGGUAAUACGGAGGGUGCGAGCGUUAAUCGGAAUUACUGGGCGUAAAGCGUGCGUAGGCGGAUGGGUCAGUCAGCCGUGAAAGCCCCGGGCUUAACCUGGGAACGGCGGUUGAGACGGCUCGUCUGGAGUGGGCUAGAGGAUCGUGGAAUUCCGGGUGUAGCGGUGAAAUGCGUAGAGAUCCGGAGGAACACCGAUGGCGAAGGCAGCGGUCUGGGGCCACACUGACGCUGAGGCACGACGGCGUGGGGAGC